GUGAAGGUGUCCGUGUACUCGAAGUAAUAAGCCAGCAUCACGGUCCCUGCCAUGAUCACCAUCUGGAAGUAAAGCAUGCUGCUGGUUCAUGAGGAUGCAGCAAAGCCAGAAAACUCAAGAAAGCAGAAAACCCAAGUGACAAAAGUCAGCUACAAAGACACAAAGCAUUUGUAAGCCCUGGGAUUCUGCCAUGAAUGACACCAUCACCAGGCCACUGAGGAUACACCUCACAGGAAUUUCCUGCACUGGUUUGUUUCCUAAAGCCAGACUUUUCAUACUCCCUGCAGGACAGACACCUCUGCACUUUAAGAAACCUUCUGCAGAUAUCCCCUCUACACUGUCCUUUUGGCUACAAGGCUAAGCUCAGAGCAAGACUAAAAAGACAAACAUUUUUAAGGCAUAGGCAUGCUCACACGGAAAGCUGUGUGUUUCUCCAAAUGACUGGAUUCCUACAAAACCAUUUCUGCAGGAAGCAUUUGUUUCCAUCAAUCAUUAUUCAGAUACUUUCCUCCUAUCAAGGUGUUUCUGUCCUUGCAGAUAUAUUCAAAACUUCAUUUACAAGGCUCUGAGGAACCUUACCAAAAAGUGAGGUCAGCCCUGCUUUGAACCUAAAAUUUUCUGUGGUUCUGGGAAUUACAUUUGAUUUACUCCAACAGCGAUUUGCUGUCUUUAAUCUUAAUUGUUACAAUCUGUUCUAAUAGUGGUUCACAGAAACUAUGGCAAUUCACUUGAUGAUUGUAAUUCAUAUCUAAGAAUAAAAUAAUAUUUCCUGUAAAUUGCUUAAUUGAUACGAAUUGAAGCUGCCCAUCCACUUACCUAAAGUGGUAGUAAGAAAGAUAUCUCUUAAUUUUGCACUUUCUAAAGAGACAGUACUCUGUGUGUAUAUAUCUAUAUAUUUGUAUGUAUGUACGUGCUCCAGUAAGGUGCUACAUAAUACCUGUUACAGAAUUUGUUUUUAAAAACAUAAUCUAAGAGAUUAUGCCUUUGACCUAAUUAUAAUUUCUCAUCAUAAUUACCUUCCAGGCAAAAACUCUAUUGUCAAGCUGUCAAGCAUUAGCAAAAGACUAAUGAAGGCAGCAAGGAAGUAACUAAAGCAUCAAGAAGUUACUUCUGAGAGAAGGCAGCAGCCUUUGCAGCUUUCAGAAGUGAAGCCUGAACUGAAAGUAACAGUUGGAAAACUAAAGAGACGUAGUAACAAUAAUAAAAUAAUAAGUUAAACCAGC
Long non-coding RNA from Melospiza melodia melodia, 1223 nucleotides. RefSeq lists it as uncharacterized. The record is from RefSeq and is a predicted model, not a curated record. Lineage: Eukaryota; Metazoa; Chordata; Aves; Passeriformes; Passerellidae. The transcript is spliced from 2 exons.